Molecule: ribosomal RNA, 449 nt
Filed under: uncultured bacterium
Lineage: Bacteria
Description: partial 16S ribosomal RNA
Rfam family: Bacterial small subunit ribosomal RNA
Source: RNAcentral
AACGAACGCUGGCGGCAUGCCUAACACACGCAAGUCGAACGAGAUCUUCGGGUCUAGUGGCGCACGGGUGCGUAACGCGUGGGAAUCUGUCCUUUGGUUCGGAAUAACAGUUGGAAACGACUGCUAAUACCGGAUGAUGACGAAAGUCCAAAGAUUUAUCGCCAGAGGAUGAGCCCGCGUAGGAGUAGCUAGUUGGUGUGGUAAAGGCGCACCAAGGCGACGAUCCUUAGCUGGUCUGAGAGGAUGAUCAGCCACACUGGGACUGAGACACGGCCCAGACUCCUACGGGAGGCAGCAGUGGGGAAUAUUGGACAAUGGGCGAAAGCCUGAUCCAGCAAUGCCGCGUGAGUGAUGAAGGCCUUAGGGUUGUAAAGCUCUUUUACCCGGGAUGGUAAUGACAGUACCGGGAGAAUAAGCUCCGGCUAACUCCGUGCCAGCCGCCGCCGUAA